This 497-nucleotide ribosomal RNA is filed under the name uncultured bacterium. RNAcentral's name for it is "partial 16S ribosomal RNA". It matches the Rfam family "Bacterial small subunit ribosomal RNA", at positions 28 to 507 of the family's 1533-position model. The record is from RNAcentral.
GACGGACGCUGGCGGCGUGCCUAAUACAUGCAAGUUGAGCGCUGAAGGUUGGUACUUGUACCAACUGGAUGAGCAGCGAACGGGUGAGUAACGCGUGGGGAAUCUGCCUUUGAGCGGGGGACAACAUUUGGAAACGAAUGCUAAUACCGCAUAAAAACUUUAAACACAAGUUUUAAGUUUGAAAGAUGCAAUUGCAUCACUCAAAGAUGAUCCCGCGUUGUAUUAGCUAGUUGGUGAGGUAAAGGCUCACCAAGGCGAUGAUACAUAGCCGACCUGAGAGGGUGAUCGGCCACAUUGGGACUGGGACACGGCCCAAACUCCUACGGGAGGCAGCAGUAGGGAAUCUUCGGCAAUGGACGAAAGUCUGACCGAGCAACGCCGCGUGAGUGAAGAAGGUUUUCGGAUCGUAAAACUCUGUUGGUAGAGAAGAACGUUGGUGAGAGUGGAAAGCUCAUCAAGUGACGGUAACUACCCAGAAAGGGACGGCUAACUACGUG